UUGGAAAGUGACUUCUCAUAGGUUCGCAGU
This 30-nucleotide non-coding RNA is filed under the name Mus musculus (house mouse). The record is from RNAcentral. Lineage: Eukaryota; Metazoa; Chordata; Mammalia; Rodentia; Muridae.